RNAcentral lists this ribosomal RNA (350 nucleotides) under uncultured bacterium. RNAcentral describes it as "partial 16S ribosomal RNA". It matches the Rfam family "Bacterial small subunit ribosomal RNA", at positions 338 to 685 of the family's 1533-position model. The record is from RNAcentral.
CCUACGGGUGGCAGCAGUGGGGAAUAUUGCGCAAUGGGCGAAAGUCUGAACCAGCCAAGUAGCGUGAAGGAUGACUGCCCUAUGGGUUGUAAACUUCUUUUAUAAAGGAAUAAAACGAGGCACGUGUGCCUUUUUGCAUGUACUUUAUGAAUAAGGAUCGGCUAACUCCGUGCCAGCAGCCGCGGUAAUACGGAGGAUCCGAGCGUUAUCCGGAUUUAUUGGGUUUAAAGGGAGCGUAGAUGGGUUGUUAAGUCAGUUGUGAAAGUUUGCGGCUCAACCGUAAAAUUGCAAUUGAUACUGGCAGUUUUGAGUACAUUUGAGGAAAGCGGAAUUCGGGUUGUAGCGGUGAA